CCUACGGGUGGCAGCAGUCGAGAAUCAUUCACAAUGGGGGAAACCCUGAUGGUGCGACGCCGCGUGGGGGAAUGAAGGUCUUCGGAUUGUAAACCCCUGUCAUGUGGGAGCAAAUUAAAAAGAUAGUACCACAAGAGGAAGAGACGGCUAACUCUGUGCCAGCAGCCGCGGUAAUACAGAGGUCUCAAGCGUUGUUCGGAAUCACUGGGCGUAAAGCGUGCGUAGGCUGUUUCGUAAGUCUUGUGUGAAAGGCGCGGGCUCAACCCGCGGACGGCACAUGAUACUGCGAGACUAGAGUAAGGGAGAGGGAACCGGAAUUCUCGGUGUAGCAGUGAAAUGCGUAGAUAUCGAGAAGAACACUCGUGGCGAAGGCGGGUUCCUGGACAUUAACUGACGCUGAGGCACGAAGGCCAGGGGAGCGAAAGGGAUUAGAUACCCCGGUAGUC
Molecule: ribosomal RNA, 446 nt
Filed under: uncultured bacterium
Lineage: Bacteria
Description: partial 16S ribosomal RNA
Rfam family: Bacterial small subunit ribosomal RNA
Source: RNAcentral